UGGCGAUGAGGAGUUAAUUACUUGUUGAAUGUCGGUGAUAGUUUUAUACGCUAUUCUGAGCCAGCA
Small nucleolar RNA from Molossus molossus (Pallas's mastiff bat), 66 nucleotides. RefSeq annotates it as small nucleolar RNA U54. The transcript has a single exon. NCBI's taxonomy places the organism in Eukaryota, Metazoa, Chordata, Mammalia, Chiroptera, Molossidae. The record is from RefSeq and is a predicted model, not a curated record.